GGGCCUAUAGUUCAAUGGAUAGAAUAAUCGGCUUCGGACCGGUUGAUGGGGGUUCGAAUCCUUCUAGGCCCA
This 72-nucleotide transfer RNA is filed under the name Candidatus Woesearchaeota archaeon CG10_big_fil_rev_8_21_14_0_10_34_8. RNAcentral describes it as "tRNA-Arg". It matches the Rfam family "tRNA". From Rfam's summary of the family: Transfer RNA (tRNA) molecules are approximately 80 nucleotides in length. Their secondary structure includes four short double-helical elements and three loops (D, anti-codon, and T loops). The record is from RNAcentral. Lineage: Archaea; Nanobdellati; Candidatus Woesearchaeota.